GGGGAAUAUUGGACAAUGGGGGCAACCCUGAUCCAGCAAUUCUGUGUGCACGAAGAAGGUUUUCGGAUUGUAAAGUGCUUUCAGCAGGGAAGAAAAAAAUGACGGUACCUGCAGAAGAAGCGACGGCUAAAUACGUGCCAGCAGCCGCGGUAAUACGUAUGUCGCAAGCGUUAUCCGGAAUUAUUGGGCAUAAAGGGCAUCUAGGCGGCCAGAUAAGUCUGGGGUGAAAACUUGCGGCUCAACCGCAAGCCUGCCCUGGAAACUAUAUGGCUAGAGUACUGGAGAGGUGGACGGAACUGCACGAGUAGAGGUGAAAUUCGUAGAUAUGUGCAGGAAUGCCGAUGAUGAAGAUAGUUCACUGGACGGUAACUGACGCUGAAGUGCGAAAGCUAGGGGAGCAAACAGGAUUAGAUACCCUGGUAGUCCUAGCUGUAAACGAUGAUUACUGGGUGUGGGCAUGAAGAGUGUCCGUGCCGAAGCUAAUGCGAUAAGUAAUCCGCCUGGGGAGUACGGCCGCAAGGCUG
This 524-nucleotide ribosomal RNA is filed under the name uncultured bacterium. Its description in RNAcentral is "bacterial SSU rRNA". It matches the Rfam family "Bacterial small subunit ribosomal RNA", at positions 356 to 896 of the family's 1533-position model. The record is from RNAcentral.